UACAGAGGUCUCAAGCGUUGUUCGGAAUUACUGGGCGUAAAGGGCUGGUAGGCGGCCAACUAAGUCGGAUGUGAAAUCCCCAGGCUUAACCUGGGAACUGCAUCCGAUACUGGUCGGCUUGAAUCCGGGAGAGGGAUGCAGAAUUCCAGGUGUAGCGGUGAAAUGCGUAGAUAUCUGGAGGAAUACCGGUGGCGAAGGCGGCAUCCUGGACCGGGAUUGACGCUGAACAGCGAAAGCUAGGGGAGCAAACGGG
This 253-nucleotide ribosomal RNA is filed under the name uncultured bacterium. RNAcentral's name for it is "partial 16S ribosomal RNA". It matches the Rfam family "Bacterial small subunit ribosomal RNA", at positions 524 to 776 of the family's 1533-position model. The record is from RNAcentral.